Molecule: ribosomal RNA, 360 nt
Filed under: Triticum aestivum (bread wheat)
Lineage: Eukaryota; Viridiplantae; Streptophyta; Magnoliopsida; Poales; Poaceae
Description: partial small subunit ribosomal RNA
Source: RNAcentral
AUGGCAUAUUACCAACAGGAGGCGUUUCAGAUUAACAUUGAUGAAGAACCUAAUCUCUAUAUGGGUCCUUGGGGAACAUCAUCGGUGCAAUGGGCAGUCUCUAACCUAACCUGCCAGGAGGCACUGAUGGACAUGUCUAGUUAUGCAUGUGUUAGCAUCAAUAGCACAUGCUUAGUUGUAAACUGUACAAUGGAUGGUUUCUAUGGUUAUCGCUGCAAAUGCUCACGGGGAUUUCAAGGAAAUCCAUAUGUCCGGAAAGGUUGUCAAGGUACUCUCUCUCAAACACUAGAAACAAAAAAUAUCCAUUACAACCUUCUGUACAAAAUAAUCACCUACCAACUAGCUCUCUCACAUGUAUAA